RNAcentral lists this long non-coding RNA (859 nucleotides) under Cyanistes caeruleus (blue tit). Its description in RNAcentral is "lncRNA (ENSCCEG00000017897.1)". The record is from RNAcentral. Lineage: Eukaryota; Metazoa; Chordata; Aves; Passeriformes; Paridae.
CUGCAGCCCCGGCCCUGAGCCCCCGCCGCGGACCCAGGCAUUGACUGACAGAUGUUCCUGGUUUGAAAAGGAAGACUUAAAUGAGUGUGAAAAAACAUGGCUUUUGCUACUGAAACACAUCAAUCAAGAUUCGCACUGCACAAACUGGGACACAAUGCCCAACUUUCCAGAGUUCUUGGAAAAGGAACAACAGGAAAGGAGUCCAGAACACCACGAAGUCUUUACAUUCAGAAUAAAAGACAUUCAGUGGGUAUCAUUCCCAUCUUUUCACAAAGAAAAAUGUCUGAACCCCAAGGAUCUGAGCUCUCAGCAGCCAACACAGAGUCAGAGCAAUGAACAUAAAGGACAGGGCCAAUCAUCCACAGCUGGGAAAACCUGCAAGGGAACCAGUACAGAUCAAGCCAAAACUGUGUCUGGGGCAGACACAAAAGGCGUUUCAGAGCUGGAUGUGAGUCCUAAGUCAUGUAAAUUCCCUGGGCACAGCAGCUCAGCACAGCCCUUGGCCUUGGUACAAAGCCCUGCAGAAGCUCUGAGCCCUCAGCAGCACCACACAGGGACUGUACAGAACAGUAGGGCAGACAGGGAAGAAAAGGGUGAGGAAAAGACUCAAAUCCAAACACAUCAGGGGGAUCUUCCAGUGGGGGAGGCCACAGAGGUCCCUGCUGAGAAGCCUCGGCUAAGGAGCACUCUGGGGGCUGAGAGCCGUGAGGAGAAGAUGGAAAACCAGAGUGAAGCAUCUUCAGCUCUUGACAGUUGUCCAAUGUGUCUGAUGCAGUUUAGUGGAAGACUCUCUCAGCUGGACAUUGAUGGCCACCUUGCCAGGUGCUUGUCUGAAAGUGCAGAUGAUGUCACAUGGUAA